UGGCGGCACCUCUAACACAUGCGUCGAACGCAGUAGCAAUACUGAGUGGCGAACGGGUGAGUAUAAUGUGGGUAUCUGCCUUUUGGUUUGGAAUAACACGAGGAAACUUGUGCUAAUACCGGAUAAGCCUUUACGGGGAAAGUUUUAUACGCCAAAAGAUGAGCCCGCACUUGAUUAGCUAGUUGGUAAGGUAAAAGCUUACCAAGGCUACGAUCAAUAGCUGAUCUGAGAGGAUGAUCAGCCACAUUGGGACUGAGACACGGCCCA
Molecule: ribosomal RNA, 267 nt
Filed under: uncultured Alphaproteobacteria bacterium
Lineage: Bacteria; Pseudomonadati; Pseudomonadota; Alphaproteobacteria
Description: partial 16S ribosomal RNA
Rfam family: Bacterial small subunit ribosomal RNA
Source: RNAcentral